AUAGAAAUAAAUUAUAAAAAAAUUAUUUUUAAAAAUAAAUUAUUAUUUAUUCUUUUUGUAUCAAGAUUAAAUUAAAUAAAAAAUUAAAUUAUAUAUUUAAAAUUAAUAAGAAUAAAAAAUUAAUUUAAAUUAAUAUGUAAAAAUUAUUUAAAAUUAAUUUUUAGAAAAGAAAUUUUAUUCAUUUAUUAGUAAAUAAUUUUAUAUUAGUUUAAUUGAAUUAAUAAUUUAUUUUUUGAAGUAAAUUAAUUUAUUAUAGAGUUAAGUUUAUAAUAUUAAAUAAAUUUUUAUAAUUUUUAAAAAUAAUAUUUAUAAUUAAUAAUUUUAAAAUAAAAUUUAUUAAUAAUUUUUUAUUUUCAUUAAAAAAUUUUUAAUUAUUAAAAUUAAUAUAAUAAUUUGUUUAAUAAAAUAAUUAAUUUAUUAAUAUUUAAAUAAGUAAUUUUAAAGAUAAAGAAUUAAUUUAAUGAAUUUAACAAAUUAAUUUUUAUUUGUUUAAUAAAAACAUAAUUUAAAGAAUUUAAUUUUAAAUAUAUUCUGCUCAAUGAUUAAAUUUAAUUUAUAAUUAGAUAGCUGCAGUAUAUUAACUGUACAAAGGUAGCAUAAUAAUUUGUAUUUUAAUUGAAUAAUGGAAUGAAUGAAUAAAUAAAAAAUUUAUUUUAUUAAAUUAAUUUAAUGAAUUUAAUUAUUUAGUAAAAAAGCUAAAUUUUUAUUAAAAGACUAAAAGACCCUAAAAAUUUUAUAUAUAAAUAGUAUAUUUAUUUGGGGUAAAUUAAAUAGAAUAAUUUAUUUAAAUUAAUAAUUUAUAAAAGUAAAUUAAAAUUACUUUAGGGAUAACAGGAUAAUUAAUUUAAUAGAUUAAAUUAAAAAAUUUAGAUUAUUACCUCGAUGUUGAAUUAAUUAAACUUAUUAAAAUAGAAAUUAAUAUAAGUAAGUUUGUUCAACUUUUAAUUAAUUACAUGAUUUGAGUUAAGAUCGAUGUAAAUUAGAUUGGUUUUUAUCUUUAAUUUUAAAUUAAAUUUAGUACGAAAGGAUUAAUUUAAUUUUUUAAUAUU
This 1049-nucleotide ribosomal RNA is filed under the name Australicoccus grevilleae. Its description in RNAcentral is "large subunit ribosomal RNA". Lineage: Eukaryota; Metazoa; Arthropoda; Insecta; Hemiptera; Pseudococcidae. The record is from RNAcentral.